UAUAACUUAUAAGUUGGCUUUUUUUUCUAGUUUUAUCGUUGAGAAAUCUCACAAAAUGUUUUAUUUUCGUACCAUUAAAGUGGUCAUAAAUCCGGUAUGACUGUUAAUAAACGUCAACAAAUCCUAAAGCGUUGAGAUCCAUUAAAACAUCUGUUACACAAACAAGUGAAAAAAAAGUCUUGUGUAUAUAAAAUAAAGUAGCAUUGAGGUGCUAAUAAAGUCAGUUCGCUGACUGACAAGUUUUUACUUUAUUUACAUUUUGAUUGACUGCUUCUAAUUCAACCGUCAGCAAUUUAUUUUAAGUUGCAAAAGCUAUGUUAAGAAUUCAUCUUUCUCGGGAGUUUGUAAUAUUUUUAUAAAAAAAAAAAAAAAAAGACUUUCCAGAAAAAGAUUCGAGGCUGAGUUCUCCAACCAGUGCAAUACUUGUGUGCACAACGAGACAAGAAAUGCUGAGCAUGCAACGUCAGAUUCUGCAUGACGAAGUAAUAGAAUUCUUUAGGUCCGUACUCUGUAACGACUGGAUAGACCAGUCUGAGAUUACCUCAUAAAUCUGAAAUUUCUUCUUUCUUUGUAUCCAGUUACUACUCUAUCAGCUUAUUUGGAUUUGCUGUUUUUUUUUCUUCCUCUUAUUAGUUGUGCGACAAUAUAAGAUGUUUCAAUCUGAUCAGACACAAAAUAUCGAGUUGAAUAGCGACAUCACUUUAAUGAAUUCGCCGUUCGAGAUUUUUAUUCAAGAAUUUUAUUUCGUAUUUUACAAAACAAAAAAAAAAAAAAAAAACCUUAUCGUCUGUUCUUCCGUCUGCCAUCGAUAUAUUUCGAGAUCCAUUCGUAUUAUCCAAUUAUAUGUCUAUUAUUUUUGAGAAUGUUAAGUGGUCACGUUUCAAAAUGGCGGCGGUUCGAAAUGUUAAAACGACGAUAUCUCUAAAACUGUUUGUCGCACAUUAAUGAUAUUAUAGUCGUUCGAAAGAAUUUUAGAUAUAGUUUACUGCGACAUUAUGAAAUUACUUUGUCCGUACGUGUGUCAGGCCGUUCUCAAAAUACCUCAUAAACAAUGCAUGAAAGAGCAUUCAAAUUGUUUUACACAAUGGUUUCUUUUCAUCCAUACUAUAUGCCAACUAAUUUAGAGUAUCCAUAAUAAUCUCCUACAAAAUAGCGAUUGUUCGAAAUUUUAAAAUUCUAUAACUUUAAAACUAUUACCAC
This 1200-nucleotide long non-coding RNA is filed under the name Androctonus crassicauda. The record is from RNAcentral. Lineage: Eukaryota; Metazoa; Arthropoda; Arachnida; Scorpiones; Buthidae.